UAUAAUAAUAAAAGGUUAAACCUGCCCAGUGACCUACGGGUUAAACGGCCGCGGUACCCUGACCGUGCUAAGGUAGCAUAUAAUAUACCCUUUAAUUGUGGGAUAGAAUGAAAGGAUAAACGAAAGUUAGCCUGUUUCCUAGAUAAUACUAUAAAUUAACCUUCAGGUGAAGAGGCCUGAAUGCAAUAAAAAGACAAGAAGACCCUGUAGAGCUUUACCUUCACAACCAUAGAGAAAAAGCAAAAGUAUUUUUCUCUAUUAGUUAUAAAGGUUUAACUGGGGCGGUUAGAGAACAAUAAACUUCUACUUCAUACACAAGGUUAACACACCAAAUCAUAAUCAUGUCAAUAUUCAAAGAAUCAAGCUACCUCAGGGAUAACAGACUAAUCCUUCCUGAGAGUACCCAUUGAAGGAAGGGAUUGGCACCUCGAUGUUGGCUUAGGGUAUCCCAGGGGUCGCAGCAGCCCCUAAAGGUAGGUUUGUUCAAC
This 488-nucleotide ribosomal RNA is filed under the name Metasychis disparidentata. Its description in RNAcentral is "partial 16S ribosomal RNA". It matches the Rfam family "Bacterial large subunit ribosomal RNA", at positions 1838 to 2585 of the family's 2925-position model. Lineage: Eukaryota; Metazoa; Annelida; Polychaeta; Maldanidae. The record is from RNAcentral.